Molecule: long non-coding RNA, 218 nt
Filed under: Panax ginseng (ginseng)
Lineage: Eukaryota; Viridiplantae; Streptophyta; Magnoliopsida; Apiales; Araliaceae
Description: long non-coding RNA (PGIN_LNC007320)
Source: RNAcentral
UACAAGUUGGGGUUGAGCUUUAUCCAUGUUGAUGGGAUUUUUUUUUACAUGUUCUAAAGUGAUUUCUUAAAGCAGUAGUGCCAUUUGAAGAUGAAUCAGCAGCUAAUUCUUUUCCAUAAUAAGUACACUUACCUUUGAUGAAAUUGUUAGUUCCCAGUAGGCACAAUAGAUCUAGAAGGGGGGGUUGAAUAGAUCCUUUUUAAUUUCAAAUACUUUUU